This 232-nucleotide ribosomal RNA is filed under the name uncultured bacterium. RNAcentral's name for it is "partial 16S ribosomal RNA". It matches the Rfam family "Bacterial small subunit ribosomal RNA", at positions 99 to 334 of the family's 1533-position model. The record is from RNAcentral.
CGGACGGGUGAGUAAUGUCUGGGAAACUGCCCGAUGGAGGGGGAUAACUACUGGAAACGGUAGCUAAUACCGCAUAACGUCGCAAGACCAAAGAGGGGGACCUUAGGGCCUCUUGCCAUCGGAUGUGCCCAGAUGGGAUUAGCUAGUAGGUGGGGUAAUGGCUCACCUAGGCGACGAUCCCUAGCUGGUCUGAGAGGAUGACCAGCCACACUGGAACUGAGACACGGUCCAG